AAGUAUUAUUAUUUAGGAUCGUAAUUAAGAAAAUGACUGAUUGAAUGAACAUACAUUAUAAUUGAUUUGCAAUUACAUAAGGCGGGACUAGGACUACAUUCUCGAGAGACUGACUGAAGAAGUUAGUUAUACUCUGGAUAAAAAAAUGUCACUACAUCAAAUCUCAAGAACAUCCCGCGAACAAACAAAGAAUCUAAACAAAAACGAAGGAAGGUACGUACGUGUGAUGAGGUCCAGAAUAAUGCAACAAUCUAAAGGACGCAAAAUCUAACAGACCUAGCUAGCUAGCUAGCGACCCAACUGAUUCUGACACGGAAAUGGAAAACAGCCAAAAAGGAGUCACCCCCGCUCUCAUCAUUCAGCCUUCUUCUUAAUUAGCUUAUUAUUAAGUUGGAAAAGGUGAGUGAUGAAGAAGAAGCGUUAAUUUGUGGAUUAAUAUUUGGUGGGGUUUGAUGAUGAUGUGUGUUUGAGUUGAUGAUGAUCAAAACAGAGACAAGAAAAGACGGUCUUGAGAACCUUCUUGAGAACUUGGCCCCGUUUUGGGAUCCAGCGAGGGGCCAUGAAAGCAGAAGCACCACCAUGAUAUCGAUGAUGAGAACUAGUAGCAGUGGAGGUUGCUUCUUCGCAGCUGUGGUUGAGAGCAGCCAUAUGAAUAUAUGAAUAUAUUUGCUGCGCUGGCUGUGUGUGUUCGUUUUCAAUGGAAGGGGCAGGGAGAAGUG
RNAcentral lists this long non-coding RNA (719 nucleotides) under Prunus dulcis (almond). Its description in RNAcentral is "sRNA ncRNA". The record is from RNAcentral. Lineage: Eukaryota; Viridiplantae; Streptophyta; Magnoliopsida; Rosales; Rosaceae.